RNAcentral lists this ribosomal RNA (540 nucleotides) under uncultured bacterium. RNAcentral's name for it is "bacterial SSU rRNA". It matches the Rfam family "Bacterial small subunit ribosomal RNA", at positions 9 to 545 of the family's 1533-position model. The record is from RNAcentral.
GAGUUUGAUCCUGGCUCAGGAUGAACGCUGGCGGCGUGCUUAACACAUGCAAGUCGAACGGAGUACCCCUGAAGGAGUUUUCGGACAACUGAUGGGACUACUUAGUGGCGGACGGGUGAGUAACGCGUGAGUAACCUGCCUUGGAGUGGGGAAUAACAGCUGGAAACAGCUGCUAAUACCGCAUAAUAUGUCUGUGUCGCAUGGCACUGGACAUCAAAGAUUUAUCGCUCUGAGAUGGACUCGCGUCUGAUUAGCUAGUUGGCGGGGUAACGGCCCACCAAGGCGACGAUCAGUAGCCGGACUGAGAGGUUGGCCGGCCACAUUGGGACUGAGACACGGCCCAGACUCCUACGGGAGGCAGCAGUGGGGAAUAUUGGGCAAUGGGCGCAAGCCUGACCCAGCAACGCCGCGUGAAGGAAGAAGGCUUUCGGGUUGUAAACUUCUUUUCUCAGGGACGAAGCAAGUGACGGUACCUGAGGAAUAAGCCACGGCUAACUACGUGCCAGCAGCCGCGGUAAUACGUAGGUGGCAAGCGUUAUC